Molecule: unclassified non-coding RNA, 145 nt
Filed under: soil metagenome
Description: partial internal transcribed spacer 1
Source: RNAcentral
CCGAGUUUACAACUCCAAACCCCUGUGAACAUACCACUUGUUGCCUCGGCGGAUCAGCCCGCUCCCGGUAAAACGGGACGGCCCGCCAGAGGACCCCUAAACUCUGUUUCUAUAUGUAACUUCUGAGUAAAACCAUAAUAAAUCA